Molecule: ribosomal RNA, 229 nt
Filed under: uncultured bacterium
Lineage: Bacteria
Description: partial 16S ribosomal RNA
Rfam family: Bacterial small subunit ribosomal RNA
Source: RNAcentral
CGCGUAGGCGGUUUGAUCAGUCGGAUGUGAAAGCCCUGGGCUCAACCUGGGAAUGGCAUUCGAUACUGUCAAGCUAGAAUGUGGGAGAGGCAAGUGGAAUUUCCGGUGUAGCGGUGAAAUGCGUAGAGAUCGGAAGGAACACCAGUGGCGAAGGCGGCUUGCUGGCCCAACAUUGACGCUGAGGUGCGAAAGCGUGGGGAGCGAACAGGAUUAGAUACCCUGGUAGUCC